RNAcentral lists this ribosomal RNA (396 nucleotides) under uncultured bacterium. RNAcentral describes it as "bacterial SSU rRNA". It matches the Rfam family "Bacterial small subunit ribosomal RNA", at positions 28 to 428 of the family's 1533-position model. The record is from RNAcentral.
GACGAACGCUGGCGGCGUGCUUAACACAUGCAAGUCGAGCGGUAAGGCCCUUUCGGGGUACGACGAGCGGCGAACGGGUGAGUAACACGUGGGUGACCUGCCCUCAGCUCUGGGAUAAGCCUGGGAAACCGGGUACUAAUACCGGAUAUGACUCCAUGACGCAUGUUGUGGGGUGGAAAGCCUUGUGCGGCUGAGGAUGGGCCCGCGGCCUAUCAGCUUGUUGGUGGGGUGAUGGCCUACCAAGGCGACGACGGGUAGCCGGCCUGAGAGGGCGACCGGCCACACUGGGACUGAGACACGGCCCAGACUCCUACGGGAGGCAGCAGUGGGGAAUCUUGCGCAAUGGGCGAAAGCCUGACGCAGCGACGCCGCGUGAGGGAUGACGGCCUGGUGUAA